UACAGGGGGGGCAAGCGUUGUUCGGAAUUACUGGGCGUAAAGGGUUCGUAGGUGGCCAACUAAGUCAGACGUGAAAUCCCUCAGCUUAACUGGGGAACUGCGUCUGAUACUGGAUGGCUUGAGUGCAGGAGAGGAAUGCGGAAUUCCAGGUGUAGCGGUGAAGUGCGUAGAUAUCUGGAGGAACACCGGUGGCGAAGGCGGCAUUCUGGACUGUAACUGACACUGAGGAACGAAAGCCAGGGGAGCAAACGGG
This 253-nucleotide ribosomal RNA is filed under the name uncultured bacterium. RNAcentral describes it as "partial 16S ribosomal RNA". It matches the Rfam family "Bacterial small subunit ribosomal RNA", at positions 524 to 776 of the family's 1533-position model. The record is from RNAcentral.